CCUACGGGAGGCAGCAGUAGGGAAUAUUGCUCAAUGGGGGAAACCCUGAAGCAGCAACGCCGCGUGGAGGCUGAAGGUUUUAGGAUUGUAAACUCCUUUUGUUAGAGAAGAUUAUGACGGUAUCUAAUGAAUAAGCACCGGCUAACUCCGUGCCAGCAGCCGCGGUCAUACGGAGGGUGCAAGCGUUACUCGGAAUCACUGGGCGUAAAGAGUGCGUAGGCGGGGUAAUAAGUCAGAUGUGAAAUCCUGUGGCUUAACUACAAGACUGCAUUUGAAACUGUUACUCUGGAGUGUGGGAGAGGUAGGUGGAAUUCUUGGUGUAGGGGUAAAAUCCGUAGAGAUCAAGAAGAAUACUCAUUGCGAAGGCAGCCUGCUGGAACAUGUCUGACGCUGAUGCACGAAAGCGUAGGGAGCAAACAGGAUUAGAUACCCCGGUAGUC
Molecule: ribosomal RNA, 440 nt
Filed under: uncultured bacterium
Lineage: Bacteria
Description: partial 16S ribosomal RNA
Rfam family: Bacterial small subunit ribosomal RNA
Source: RNAcentral